Caenorhabditis elegans is the source of this 95-nucleotide non-coding RNA. Lineage: Eukaryota; Metazoa; Nematoda; Chromadorea; Rhabditida; Rhabditidae. The record is from Ensembl.
AAUGUGAAGUCUUUUCCUCGAAUACCUUUGGAAUGGAAAAAAAAGUAUGGAAUUGAAAGAUAACAAAAACGAACAUUAUUUAUAUCAUUUCAUCU